Macaca fascicularis (crab-eating macaque) is the source of this 148-nucleotide unclassified non-coding RNA. It matches the Rfam family "Metazoan signal recognition particle RNA". Rfam says of the family: The signal recognition particle (SRP) is a universally conserved ribonucleoprotein. It is involved in the co-translational targeting of proteins to membranes. NCBI's taxonomy places the organism in Eukaryota, Metazoa, Chordata, Mammalia, Primates, Cercopithecidae. The record is from Ensembl.
GCUGGGUGUGGUAGCGCACACCUGUAAUCCCAGCUACUGGGGAGGCUGAGACAGGAGAAUCACUUGAACCCAGGAAGUGGAGGUUGCAGUGAGCUGAGACUAUACCACUGCAUUCCAGCCUGGGUGACAGAGUGAGACUCUGUCUCAA